This 356-nucleotide long non-coding RNA is filed under the name Aquila chrysaetos chrysaetos. RNAcentral describes it as "lncRNA (ENSACCG00020000603.1)". Lineage: Eukaryota; Metazoa; Chordata; Aves; Accipitriformes; Accipitridae. The record is from RNAcentral.
GCCCCCCCCCCCAGUAUUCCCCCCCCCCAGUAUUUCCCCGAAACCGCCUCAGCUCAUCCCACCUGCCGGAGCCGGCCUCCGCACCGCGGCCUCCAGCCACCACCCUCAUCCCAGACAAUGAGCUGUGGAGAAGAGCAGGUGAAGGAGGGACUCUGGAAAAGCUGGAGCUCCGAACUAAGUAGAAACGGUCUUUUCUCAGAACAGAUGACUUCCGUCCAAGACUGAAUAGACAUGCUUCACUUGAACAUUGCCCUCUCCAGAACUUGACAGCUGCUGAAAGCUUCAGUCCAUCAGGUAAGUUAUGUAGGACUUUCGUAGCCAUUACCUGAGUACUACUCCUACUUACUGGCUAAAAU